UACAGAGGAUGCAAGCGUUAUCCGGAUUUAUUGGGUUUAAAGGGUGCGUAGGCGGCCUGUUAAGUCAGGGGUGAAAGACGGUAGCUUAACUAUCGCAGUGCCCUUGAUACUGAUGGGCUUGAAUGUAGUUGAGGCAGGCGGAAUGUGACAAGUAGCGGUGAAAUGCAUCGAUAUGUCACAGAACACCAAUUGCGAAGGCAGCUUGCUAAACUAUGAUUGACGCUGAGGCACGAAAGCGUGGGGAUCAAACAGG
RNAcentral lists this ribosomal RNA (253 nucleotides) under uncultured bacterium. RNAcentral's name for it is "partial 16S ribosomal RNA". It matches the Rfam family "Bacterial small subunit ribosomal RNA", at positions 524 to 776 of the family's 1533-position model. The record is from RNAcentral.